GCUCCAGUGGCGCAAUUGGUCAGCGCGCAGUUCUCAUAAUGCUGCGGUUGUGAGUUCAAGCCUCACCUGGAGCA
This is a non-coding RNA of Pseudophryne corroboree (corroboree frog), 74 nucleotides long. The record is from the annotation of a RefSeq genome assembly. Lineage: Eukaryota; Metazoa; Chordata; Amphibia; Anura; Myobatrachidae.